CCUACGGGUGGCAGCAGUGGGGAAUAUUCGGCAAUGGGCGCAAGCCUGACCCAGCAACGCCGCGUGAAGGAAGCAGGCUUUCGGGUUGUAAACUUCUUUUAUGAGGGAAGAGCAGAUGUCGGUACCUCUUGUAUACGCCACGGCUAUCUACGUGCCAGCAGCCGCGGCAAUACGGAGGGGACAAGCGUCAUCCGGAAUUACUGGGUGGAAAGGGGGCGUAGUUGGUGAUGUUAGUCUGGAGUGAAAGGCGUGGGCCCAACCCACGGAAUGCUCUGGAAACUAUGUCACUGGAGUGCAGGAGGGGUGAGCAGAACUCCUAGUGUAGCGGUGAAAUGCGUAGAUAUUAGGAGGAACACCAGUGGCGAAAGCGGCUCACUGGAUUGUAACUGACGUUGAGGCUCGAAAGCGUGGGGAGCAAACAGGAUUAGAUACCCCAGUAGUC
RNAcentral lists this ribosomal RNA (442 nucleotides) under uncultured bacterium. RNAcentral describes it as "partial 16S ribosomal RNA". It matches the Rfam family "Bacterial small subunit ribosomal RNA", at positions 338 to 795 of the family's 1533-position model. The record is from RNAcentral.